CUCAGGUGAUCCUCCCUUCUCAGCCUCCCAAAGUGUUGGGAUUACAGGCGUGAGCCACCAUGCUCAGCCUGCAUUUGCUAUUUUGAUAUCUAUUACCAAAUUUUUCUUUGGAAAUGUGCCAGUUUACACUCCCACAAAUACUUUUGUCAGCAUUAGUUAGGUAUUACAUGUUUUUAAAUCCUCAUUAAUUCAGCAAACAAUUUUAUUUUAAUUGCCAUAUAGCUUGCUAUGUGUAUGUCUCUUGAAGAAUUACCUGUUCUUUUUAUUGAGGUCUUUAUUUUUUAUUGACUUGUAACUGUUCAUUGCAUCUUAAAAAUAGUAGCACUUUGUUGUGUGCUUACUGUUGUUUUCCCUCAGUUUUUCUUGGUUUUGAACUAGUUUUUGUUUUGUUUUUGUUUUUUGCCAUAUAGAAGGGUUACAAAGUUAAAUAUUUCCAUGUUUUCCAUUAUAGCUUCUGGUAGUAACUAGAAUUUACCUAAGCCCAGAAGAAUAAAAAGUCACCUGUGUUUUAUUCUGGCUUUAUACUGUUUUCAUUUGUUCUGUUAUAAUUUUUGUAUAAGAAAUCCAGGAAUCUAUUUUGCUUCUGAAGUGGCUGUCCAAUCAGGAUUUACCUUUUACCACUUGGUUGGAGAGGUGGGGGAAGAAGAGACUGGAGGAAAUAGAAGCUGAAGACAGGACUAGAUGUGUCUCCCUCCCCAGCCUCCUUUCUCUGCAGAGGUGGAGGAAUCACGGAAGCUAUCGUGGCUUUAGGUGUUGACUUUUGUCAAUGUUUGCUGAAGCCAGGAGUGAAAUUGAGACAAUAUUCCGAUUCUUGGAACCUGAGUUAGCGUUAAAGGGGAUGACAAACAGGCUGUUGUUAGGAGGUAGUUCCAUGUAAUAGGAAGAGUUUCCACCUCCCUCAGAGGCUGCCUUUCUCGUUUCUCCAAAUGAUUUCGCGGUUGGCCUAAGUUUCCUUUACUUCUCCCUACGAUGGUGUAACAUUAGCUUGAAUGCUGACGCUAUGUGGUGGUGAGCGGCAGUGGGUGUAUCUUGCCCAUAAACCCUUGGAGGACAGUGGAGGACAGGGACUGACCAACUCACCCAAGGGUCCUCUGCAUGCACAUGGUCCCUGCACAUGGCACAUAGUUGGUGCUCAGAAGGCCUUUGCUGGAACAAAGGAAAACACAAGCACCCACAGCAGUGAUGGCUGAUUUUGUCGGGUCUGCAAUGGAGAUUAGUCACCACUAGGUGUCAUGGUGAGUCAAGAAACAUUUUGGCUCAUGGUUACAAAUUAUGCGUUUACUGUAUUCAUCUUCGUGCAUGCACACAUGCAAUGUUUUACAAAGCAUCUGUUGAGUGUCUACGGCACAACACACACGUUCUGGUGCUGGAGAUCCUGCCCUGGCUGAGCUUCUGGACCUGGUGGGGAGAAAUCCACAAUGAGUACUGAGACGACCGGCAAAAGCCCGGUGAAGGCACCUAGGAGUAGGGCCUGCUUACCCUGGAGGAGUCGGGAGCAGCUUCCACAGCAAGGAGGCUUCUAAGGUACCCAAAAGCACAAGAGACAGUGAACGGAAAGUGCUUGGAAGCCCCGUGCCCAGGUGGUGCUGGCCCCAGCUGAACUGCGGGGAUAGAUGUUGAGUGUCCAGGUUCUAGCAUCAUAGAACAGAAUCCGGCCUGUUGGGAAAUCCUGCCUACAAGUAUACCUCCAUUAAUUAGUGUCUUCUGUGAACAUUUUUAUUAAAAAAAGAAGAAAAGCUUCUCAA
RNAcentral lists this long non-coding RNA (1745 nucleotides) under Homo sapiens (human). RNAcentral's name for it is "HSALNT0304455". The record is from RNAcentral. Lineage: Eukaryota; Metazoa; Chordata; Mammalia; Primates; Hominidae.